This 929-nucleotide long non-coding RNA is filed under the name Helianthus annuus (common sunflower). RNAcentral's name for it is "hypothetical non coding rna". Lineage: Eukaryota; Viridiplantae; Streptophyta; Magnoliopsida; Asterales; Asteraceae. The record is from RNAcentral.
GAUUGAACUUUAUAAAGUUUCUUUAUUGUUUCUGGCUUUUUCACCACCAAGGUACAUACUUGAUAUUUCAACUUAUAUCCCAAAAAGUCUGUUCUUGACUUUUGAGAGUCAAAGUAGCUAUACUUAUUAUUGGGCAUGUGGUAUCUUUGACUUUUAGUUGAAUUCAUAGGUGGUAUGCUAAAAGAUUCUUGCAUCCGUAUAUUGUUGCACCGUAUGACUUCAUAUUUAUAUGGGAUGAAGAUCUUGGAGUUGAGAAUUUUGAUGCUGAAGAAUACAUCAAACUUGUGAAGAAGUACAAAUUGGAGAUAUCAUAGCCCUGCUUGGAUUUAAAAAGUGAGGGUUUGACAUGGGAUAUGACCCAGAGACAAGAAGAACUUGAAGUUCACAAGCAAGUGAAUUGAGUGAAAUUGGAUCAAAGGACACAGAACAAAAGUAUGAGGAAAGUGUCAAGAAAAUUGAGCAAGAUGAAGAGAUUGAAGAAACCAAGCCGGAUGUAGAAAUUGAAAAAAGGAGCAAAAUGGGUUAUUACAAGCAAUCACCCCCGAUUCUUGCGCCUCAACAGAAACAAUACCUCAAGUAGAGACGACAGAACAUGAAGAAAGGAGAAAGUUGUCAACGUAUUAGAAAAAGAUCAAGAUGAGGAUGACGUUACACGCGCACAGGAGGUGACGGUUGAAGGAGGCUUACAAGAAAAAACCCACCACAAUGACGAUAGUGAGAGUUAAGUUGUUGAAGCUAAAGAAAGUGUAGAGGAAGAUGUUGCUGAUGUUUGUGUCUCAACACUUGUCAAAGAAAGUACAAAUAUUCAGUUCCAUUAAGUAUGAUCUUUUGUUUUGUUCAUUUUAAUGUUUGGUUAUUUGUAGUGUUUGGAUAAUGUGUUGAGAAUGAGUUUUAGUGGUUUGAAAAGAAGAAAAGGAAAAGUUAGAUGG